GCAAAGACUACUAAUGAGCCAAAUUUGAAGCCUGCUGGUAAAGAAGCUCACCUCCCUCAUGGCUCACUGAACCACAAGAGAAUGGAUUUCCUGAAAUGUAGUGUCUUCCAAAGUGUUACCCUCAGACCCGCCAUCUAACCCCUCAUAUUCCAGGUGAGUUAUUUCAACAACUGUGUUGUUUUCAUAGGCUGAUUCCUGGGUGGGACCUCGAAAUCCUGCAAAACUAAGACUCACUAUGUGAUGAGUGGUGACUUGACAGCAGGUGGAG
Molecule: long non-coding RNA, 268 nt
Filed under: Felis catus (domestic cat)
Lineage: Eukaryota; Metazoa; Chordata; Mammalia; Carnivora; Felidae
Description: lncRNA (ENSFCAG00000045928.2)
Source: RNAcentral